RNAcentral lists this unclassified non-coding RNA (2057 nucleotides) under Hevea brasiliensis (rubber tree). Lineage: Eukaryota; Viridiplantae; Streptophyta; Magnoliopsida; Malpighiales; Euphorbiaceae. The record is from RNAcentral.
CUGAAGUAGAAGGGAUUUUAUGCGCACUAAAGUUCUUCAAAAUAUAUUGCAGGUGUCUAAAUAUUAAGUUAACAACUUGAUUGCAGUGAGUAAUUAAAAGAAGUUUAGAGCAAGUGACAAGAUAUCACAUAACCCUCGAUCAUAUAAUGAUCUGCAAGCAUGUAGUCCAAUGGAAACACACAUACGUAGCCACAAAAUAAUUUAUGUUCCAAUAAAAAUAAGCUCUCCCAUUGGAUGUAUUUGAUUAUUGUGCUGAUUCGUCAUUUUUUAUUUCACAGAAAUUUUUUUAUUUUUUGCUGAAUUAAAGCUUGCUCGAUGGAACCCCAACUGGUGCUUCUCUGGAUCUCUUUUCUACAGCUCGAGAAAGCUUCUUGACCGCAUCUUUUGGCAGAUGACGAGGUCGGCUCAGCCAAAGUCCUCCAUCAACAAUUACAGUGGUUCCAUUAACAAAUUUACCAGCAUCAGAAGUUAGGUAGAGAGCAGCCAUAGCAAUGUCCCAUUUCUUCCCCAAUUUAUACAGAGGCAUGUAUUCUUUUGCUUUGCUAUUAAUCUCCUUGGGCACAAGUUUACUCAUGCCAGGGGUAUCAUCAAUGGGGCCUGGAGCAAUCCCAUUCACCCUAAUAUCAUAGUCGGUGCCCCACUCCAAUGCCAGAUUUCUGGCAAUAGCAUCAACAGCUGCCUUCGCAGCUGAUACAUGAAUCUGAUACCAAGAUGCUGUAUAGUGCAACGUAGCACUAAUGUUUAAAAUUGUUCCACCACCAGAUGAGCUUCGUCCAAGCCCUCCUUUCUUGAGAUACUUGAGGGCUUCAUGGCACAUUGUGAAGGUGCCAACAGCAUCGAUAUCCAAAACUGUAAGGGACAAUAGAAAACAAGAGCAUUUAGGUCAAAACCUGGCACAGCCUACAGCUAACAAGAGGUUUAUCAAUACUGAUAGAUAAAAUGAUUCUAUAUGUGAUUAAAAGCAGAAUUCCAAUUUGCUUAAAACUAUCAAUGAACCUUUAUCUCCACAUUUCAAUUAGUUUUUUAUUAAUAGAAGGCAUUUCAUGGUUUUUUUAAUUUUCUAUUUGUCCAUGUCUUAAUGAUGAAGAAAACAUCAAUCUACUUAAAGGAUAGGACAAUCUCAAUGAAACCCACUUAACACAUGCUUUAAAAACAAAAUUUUUUCAUAAUCUCUAAAGUUCUUUAGGAAGGUUCAGUUCCCUACAAUGUUCCAGAACAGCAAAGACGGUGUGAAAUUAGUUCUAAAACCUGUUCGAAAUCCAUUAGGCGACAAAUCCUCCGGCGAUACAAGAAAGUUGCCAGCUGCAGCAUUCACAAGAAUGUCAAUCCUGCCAAAACGUUUAAAAGUUGAUUCUAAAACUCUUUUAGCAUCUUCCUGCUUGCGAACAUCGCCCUCAAAGCCAACAGCCUGCAAAUACAGCAGCAAAGGAAUGCAACUAAAUGAGAUAGAAGUACAAGUUAUAAAGUUUGAAACAACAAAAUAAAACAGAAGCACAGACAAUAGGUCAAACCAGCUAUAUAAGGAGCAAUUGCUAAUCGAUGAGAAGAUAAAAAGGCUAAGCCAACCAUUAGUUUGUUCUAAAAAUAAAGAAAUCAGUAGCCCAUGAGAUGCCUAUCAAUCGAAUGAACCUCAUGGCUGUUAAAAGGAAUUACUUCGAAAAAAAACAAACAAAAUUUUUUUUUUAAAGGCAAAGGAAAUGAAGUGAACGAGAUGAUCAAAGAAAGAAAGAUAUGCUAAUUGAGAUGAGAUGGUGAAAUUGUCAACUGAAAAACAAUCCUUACGACAAUUCCAAGGGACUGGAGAUUGGAGACUGCAGAGUCAAGCACUUGCUUGCGUCUACCCAUAAUCGAAACAGAGGCACCAUGUUUUCCAAACUGUGCUGAUAUCUCAAAUCCAAUUCCUGACCCACCUCCUGUUAUUACAGCCACCUUCCCUUUCAAUAUAUCUGACCUAAAUGGCGACUCCAUCCCUCACUUUUCUCUUCUCUGAUUCCCUCCUUUCUUCUCUCUAUUCUGGAGCUGUUCUCUCUCUUGUCCACAUGUAGACGAAGCCUUCG